CCCUUUGAUACUCUGGGCGGCACGCGCGCUACAAUGGAUGACAUAACGUGAUACACUGCCGAAAGGUUAGUUAGUAAAUCACAAAUGUUAAGUCUCGAGUGGGAUAGUUUGUUGCAAUUAAAGACUUGAACUAGGAAUCCCUUGUAGGUACACUGAAGCAUAGUGUACCGAAUACGUCCCUGCCGUUUGUACACACCGCCCGUCGUUUCUUCCGACUGAUACUCAUUGUGAAUUACGGGGAUGGAUCCGUCUAAAACUGUUGUGAAUGCUGGGUAUUGGAGGAAGAAAAAGUCGUAACA
This 299-nucleotide ribosomal RNA is filed under the name uncultured eukaryote. Its description in RNAcentral is "partial 18S ribosomal RNA". It matches the Rfam family "Eukaryotic small subunit ribosomal RNA", at positions 1470 to 1796 of the family's 1831-position model. The record is from RNAcentral.